UUUAGGCUGGCUUACAAUUCUUCAGAAGCAAUAUCUGUAUAUAUGAAAAUUACUACGUUGUUGAAUAUAAAACCUUAAAGAACUCGUCCUGGUAUCAUUUGUAGGCUAUUAUAAAGAUCAACCAGUGACUCCCCCGCAAACCACAACAUCAAAUGUAGUGCUCCUCUACAGAAUAACAUCACAAAAGAACCAUGGCAAGAUAAAGGCUAGUACCAAGCACGCCAUUAGAAAGUUGCAUAAAGAAUUCUUACAUCGAAUAGAACUUUUUCAAGAAGUGUCUAAAGUUGUUGCUACCAGUCUCAUCCCAUCCCACUCCAUCAUGAAUAUUGAGGUGUCCUCGAAAUUGCUGGUUACUAUCUUUCCACAUUUUUCACACAAUCUGCAAGGCACGGCAUGUUUAGUUAAAUCGAGUCUUGAAACACGUCAUUAUAGAUCAAAUUUUUAGCAGUGGGACACAUAUAUUCAUUUAUAUUUUACACCUUCAACGUGCCAACACUUGCUAUUUUAAUUUUCUUAAUAAUAAACUAGACAUAUCGAAAUUUUAUACAUGAGUAAUGUUAUUCACCAAUUAUGCUGCUUCGCCAUAAGGAGUAAUGUUGAAUUACUUAUUUGCCAUCUUAAAUCCUACAUUGGUGGUAAGAAAAGACUUGAAUUGAGUACCCUUUUGUUUUCCUUUCGUACUUUAAUUCAAAUGUUCCACAUGUUGAAAGAAUUUGUAGCAUGCCAUGACUUAAUUUCAAUUCAUGAAAUCUUACUUGUAAAGAAGGAAUUCUCAAGAUCUUCAUGGUAGAAUCACUUGCAUUCUCAUGCUCCAAAAAUCAUCAAAUUAACACACUCCAAUAGUCUAGAUCUCGAGCGCAAUGGAAGGAAUCAUUAUCCACAAUCGAAGCGUCAAGAUUUUUGAGUUUUGUAGCCAAAACUAUUGUUAUAGUCCCUUUGCAUUUAUUGUGCAUUUUCAUACACGAAUUUUCAUCAUUUUUCUAUCAUUCCAUCUCUGCCCCUUUUGCAAGACAUGUUAAGGAGAGUUAUAUAGAGUUUAGGAACAUUAAGGGAAGUUGCAUGUUUGGCCCUUGUUUGAGCCCCAUUUUUGUCAACAAAUACACUUUUGAAUAGUGUAUUGAUGAGAAAUAUGUGAUUAAAAAAUAAAGAAGUCACGAAUUUGCAUAUAAUAUUAUUUUAUUGAAAAAU
This 1188-nucleotide long non-coding RNA is filed under the name Olea europaea (common olive). RNAcentral's name for it is "long non-coding RNA (OEUR_LNC009200)". Lineage: Eukaryota; Viridiplantae; Streptophyta; Magnoliopsida; Lamiales; Oleaceae. The record is from RNAcentral.